GUUUUGGAAGUACACCACUAAUUCAUUGUCCCAUUGCUUUCUAUGUUAAAUUCCUCCAUUUCAAGCAGGCACACCUCUUUCAUUUUAAGUUCAAAUAAAGUGGCAAUCAUUGCAUAUCAAAGCAACACUUUAUGGUGUCUUGUACUGAAAAAAUCAACAUACCUUUAAUGGCAUAUAAGAAAGAACUGGUUCCUGGAACUUCGAAUGUACCAAAACAGGUACUUCAGAUCGGACAAACAGACAAAAUGUACCCUCUUUUUAAAAUUUAGUGCAGUUUUUUUAAUACUCAAAUUUAUAAAUCCAAAAGUGUUCUACAAUGAUCACCAGUCCU
This 331-nucleotide long non-coding RNA is filed under the name Mytilus galloprovincialis (Mediterranean mussel). Lineage: Eukaryota; Metazoa; Mollusca; Bivalvia; Mytilida; Mytilidae. The record is from RNAcentral.